CCCUUUGGGGUGUGACUGCGUACCUUUUGUAUAAUGGGUCAGCGACUUAUAUUCUGUAGCAAGGUUAACCGUAUAGGGGAGCCGUAGGGAAACCGAGUCUUAACCGGGCGUUAAGUUGCAGGGUAUAGACCCGAAACCCGGUGAUCUAGCCAUGGGCAGGUUGAAGGUUGGGUAACACUAACUGGAGGACCGAACCGACUAAUGUUGAAAAAUUAGCGGAUGACCUGUGGCUGGGGGUGAAAGGCCAAUCAAACCGGGAGAUAGCUGGUUCUCCCCGAAAGCUAUUUAGGUAGCGCCUCGUGAAUUCAUCUCCGGGGGUAGAGCACUGUUUCGGCUAGGGGGCCAUCCCGGCUUACCAACCCGAUGCAAACUGCGAAUACCGGAGAAUGUUAUCACGGGAGACACACGGCGGGUGCUAACGUCCGUCGUGAAGAGGGAAACAACCCAGACCGCCAGCUAAGGUCCCAAAGUCAUGGUUAAGUGGGAAACGAUGUGGGAAGGCCCAGACAGCCAGGAUGUUGGCUUAGAAGCAGCCAUCAUUUAAAGAAAGCGUAAUAGCUCACUGGUCGAGUCGGCCUGCGCGGAAGAUGUAACGGGGCUAAACCAUGCACCGAAGCUGCGGCAGCGAACGUAUCACCCAAGACAACUUUACGGAGUUGACGAUUGACGGAGCGAAGCGACGUCAAAGCGUUCAUUAAAGUCGAGUUGGCUUAGGGAUACGUUCGUUGGGUAGGGGAGCGUUCUGUAAGCCUGUGAAGGUGUGUCGUGAGGC
Molecule: ribosomal RNA, 772 nt
Filed under: Salmonella enterica subsp. enterica serovar Heidelberg
Lineage: Bacteria; Pseudomonadati; Pseudomonadota; Gammaproteobacteria; Enterobacterales; Enterobacteriaceae
Description: partial 23S ribosomal RNA
Rfam family: Bacterial large subunit ribosomal RNA
Source: RNAcentral